Molecule: regulatory RNA element, 104 nt
Organism: Virgibacillus sp.
Lineage: Bacteria; Bacillati; Bacillota; Bacilli; Caryophanales; Bacillaceae
Rfam family: PyrR binding site
About the family: This family represents the PyrR binding site and terminator structure. This RNA structure is found upstream of a variety of genes involved in pyrimidine biosynthesis and transport.
Source: Rfam
GAAACCUUUAACUAAAUCCAGAGAGAUUUAUAAGGUUGUUAAGUGUUACGUGUGCUUUGUACACGUCUACCUCUUUGCGGCCUUUGCAAAGAGGUUUUUUUAAU